UUUCUUGUGGAGCCUGUUGGUGAGGAGUCGCUUGGUUUAGUGUUGGGUUUUCUCGGCAUUGCUUUGUUUUCUUCCUCACCUCUCCACAAUGCCUUGUGGGGGCGGUCAAGUGCGUCCGUGUGUGUCCUUCAUUGGGCAUGCGUGGUGCGUAACGGGUCCGGUAACACCCCCCACAUCGUUUACUUUGAACAAAUUAGAGUGUUUCAAGCAGGCAGCAUGUUUGCUCUGAAUACAUUAGCAUGGAAUAAUGAGGUAGGACUUGCGGUUUCGUCCCACUUGGGCUCGCGCUCGUUGGUGAAAUAAACAGACGUGCAAGGUUCCACGGAACCGAAGUAAUGAUUGAUAGGGUCAGUUGGGGGUGCUGGUAUUCCGCGGCCAGAGGUGAAAUACUUGGAUUCGCGGAGGACCAACUUAUGCGAAAGCAUUCACCAAGGAUGUCCUCUUUAAUCAAGAACGAAAGUAGGAGGAGUGAAAGCGAUCAGAUACCGCUAUAAUUCUUACAAUCAAAACGCCGACUGGGGAUGGGGGAUUGUGUCGAUUGGAGUUGAUUCAGGCGUGGCAACACGUUUGGAUGAGCUCCUCCCUGACCUCCUCCGCACCCUGUGAGAAAUCAAAGUCUUUGGGUUCCGGGGGGAGUAUGGUCGCAAGGCUGAAACUUAAAGGAAUUGACGGAAGGGCACCACCAGGAGUGGAGCAUGCGGCUUAAUUUGACCCAACACGGGAAAACUUACCAGGUCCAGACAUAGCGAGGAUUGACAGAUGGAAGAUCUUUCUUGAUUUUAUGGGUGGUGGUGCAUGGCCGUUCUUAGUUGGUGGAGUGAUUUGUCUGGUUGAUUCCGUUAACGAACGAGACCCCGACCUGUUCAUUAGUGCGUCUGUGCUUGUUAUCGCAAUCACAAACAGCCAUUCGUUUGGGAGCACUGCUGAAAGGGACUUUUGGUGCGUAGCCAAAGGAAGUUCGGGGCGAUAACAGGUCUGUGAUGCCCUUAGAUGUUCUGGGCCGCACGCGCGCUACACUGAUGGACGCAGAGAGUGAACAAACGGUGAGCUCGUAAGAGUGAGCUGGAACCUUGAUCGGCAGGUCUGGGUAAUCUUUUCAACGUCCAUCGUGCUGGGGAUAGAUGAUUGUAAUUGUUCAUCUUGAACGAGGAAUUCCUAGUACACGCAAGUCAUCAACUUGCAUUGAUUACGUCCCUGCCCUUUGUACACACCGCCCGUCGCUACUACCGAUUGAAUGGAUUAGUGAGCUUCAGGGAUUCUGCUGCGUGCGGUUCUCCGUGGACGCUGGUGGAAGAGCUGAAUCAAACUUGCUCAUCUAGA
RNAcentral lists this ribosomal RNA (1320 nucleotides) under metagenome. RNAcentral describes it as "SSU rRNA". It matches the Rfam family "Eukaryotic small subunit ribosomal RNA", at positions 636 to 1777 of the family's 1831-position model. The record is from RNAcentral.